Macadamia integrifolia is the source of this 2467-nucleotide long non-coding RNA. RefSeq lists it as uncharacterized. The record is from RefSeq and is a predicted model, not a curated record. The transcript has 2 exons. Lineage: Eukaryota; Viridiplantae; Streptophyta; Magnoliopsida; Proteales; Proteaceae.
GCUCUAUUCUAACUUCGAUACUCUCUCUUCUCCUCCCUUUCUCAUUUAUCUCUCAGUUCGUCUCCCAUCAAAUCGAUUCUGAAAUUUGGUGAGUAAAACCCUAAUCGCUUCUUUCUUCUAGCUCUUAAACAUAGCUGCAACUCGGCUCUGAAACACGGCUUGCCAAUCCGCUCUGUUAUGUCUUCAUGCUCUCUUUAUUCGAUCCCCUCUAUUGCAAACUCCACGAACAACGGGUGCAAAUCAGCGACGAAACGUGGUGAGUGAAACCUUCAUUGCUUCUUUCUUCUUGCUCUGAAACGCGGGUGCAAAUCGGCUCUGAAACUGAGAUGGACACGAGCAGCAAGAAGCAUGGUAGUCAAGGACAGUGAUGCAGCUUGGCGAUGGAAUUAGUUGCUAUCUUUUGACUUGCUUUUGACUUGAUUUUUAUUUACUUCCUUUAUUGGUUAGAGAUUGGAUUAACAGUCUUUUAUUUAGAUUUGAUUUUUAUUUUAGUUGCUAUCUAGGUUUAGUUUCCAUUUUUAAUUAGCUUCCAAAAUUAUGUCAUUAUUUUUUCUUUAAAUAGCCCUGUAAUGGAGAAGAACUCAGUUUUUAGAAUUGAAUGAAACUGAAAUUAGAUUUUGGAUAAAAUUAUGGCUGUCGUGGGCUGCUUAUCUCUUGUUCUCUUUCUCUGAAGGUCCCUCUCUAAACUAUUCUCUUUUUCCUUCUUAUCUUUUUUUUUUUUUUUUUUCUCCUUACUACUAUUUUCUGUUCCUGUUAUCGUUUCCUUGUUCUGGGCGGUAGUCACAGCCCUAGUUUAAAGGAUCGACCUCUUUCUCCUUUAAGGUUGCUAGACUGAGCUUUUGGUUGAAGGAAACCCUUCCCAAGGCGACUCUAACCCUUGAAUAUCAGGCCUGAAGGUGACUCCUGUUGUGAGAAACAAAAACCUGCAACUUAGGUUACCUAAACCUACCGCCAGAUCUGUUUGCAGGCAUUACAGCCCCUGUUUGCAUUGCUGUUCUGAGGUAUUUCCCAUCUGAAAUCAAGAGGCCCUUUAGUGAAGCAUCAUCGCCUGGAAUCUCAGGCCUAAUAGAGGGGAUUUGAAGGAGAUUUAGCCCCAGCAAGCCGUUGGAUUCUUCCGCCCCUGCUGGUUGUCCAAGGAAGAAGAAGAAAGACCCGUGAGUUGUGGUUUAAAACCCUUUCAUUUGGUUUUUCCCAUUAUACCCCUCAAACCCCUUGAUUUUUGUCCUUUAGUAUUUGUUCUUUUGUGUAAAAGUCCCUCUUUUGUUUUACCUCCAUUAAUAAUACCCCUUCCAUUCCACCUUUAUUUACUACUUACCCAUGCCCAAUAAUUGCUUCCAAGACUACCCCUGGUCAAUAAUUCUAAUCCCCUUCAUAUCCCAUCAGUUACUUUAACCUCCUUUCAUCCUUUUAAGAUCCCUUUUAUUUACAAGUCUGCCAAUCCUUUCUAGGUUUCUUGUAAUUACUAAACUGCCACCUCCCUUUAGUUUCAGUUAAUUACAGAACCACCAUCACUCCUUAUAUUUUGAAUUUACUACUUUAUUGUGGGCCCUAAGCGAUCCGAUUCCUGUUCUUGGAACCCAGAUCCGCAUCAGACAGUGAAGGAAAAGAGGUUGUUGAAGAUGUUAACUUAAAUCGUACACUACGAUAUAAGCUUCUUUGUCCUGAUCUUGUUAAGAUAGCAGUACAGGCUUCAUAUUCAGCUGAAGGAUAUGAUUUGGUGAAAAAUGUUGUCCAAGAAGUAUGCAAGCAACUUGAAAGUAUCACUAUAUCUGAUGGCUCGCCAGUGGUGGUCCCUAAUGAGGUCCCUAUCGUCCUCAAUAGGAUCGAACUGAAGAAGAAACAAUCUUAUAAAAGUGGUAGACGGGGUAAGAGUUGGGUUGAAAGACAAGGAAAGAAAAGACAAAGUCGAGGACCAAGUAUCAGUCAAGCUCCACCAGAACUUGAAUCAGUUCCUAUUCCCUUUACUGAUGCUGCAUCUUCUUCACUGAAUGAACCAGUUAAUUUCACAGAUUUUUUUACGGUAAUUGUUAAAAAAUUUUGUUUUGUUCUUUAAAAACCUAAACCCUCUUAUGUAUAUAUAUUUUUUCAAAUUGGUACCAUUGUUGCCUUUCUAUAGGGAACUAUGAUCAUGUUCUUGCAGAUUUAGCAUCUCAAGCAUCAACAAGAUACAUGGAUCAUUUCCAAGAAUAUGAUUAAGGAAGAGCAUUUUUCUUCUUUUACGGUAAUUGUUAAAAAUUAUUGUUCUGUUCUUUAAAUACCUAAACCCUCUUAUUUAUAUAAUUUUUUUAAGACCGGUAUCCAUUGUUGCCUUUCUACAGGGGAACUAUGAUCUGCUUUCAGAUUUAGUAUCUCAAGCAUCAUCAAUAUAUAUAGACCAUUUCCAAGAAUAUGAUUGAGGACAUCAUUUUUCUUCUUUGAACUCAUUACUCUAUUUGAUUUUAAUAUGCGAUUCACAUAUUGAUAUUAA